RNAcentral lists this ribosomal RNA (23 nucleotides) under Palaquium stenophyllum. Its description in RNAcentral is "partial 26S ribosomal RNA". Lineage: Eukaryota; Viridiplantae; Streptophyta; Magnoliopsida; Ericales; Sapotaceae. The record is from RNAcentral.
CUGCGACCCCAGGUCAGGCGGGA